ACUCUGCUGUGGCCUAUGGCUUUUCAUUCCUAUGUGAUUGCUGCUCCAAACUCAUGUAGGGCUAAAAGCCAUGGGCUACAGUGAGGGGCGCGCUCC
This is a microRNA precursor of Microcebus murinus (gray mouse lemur), 96 nucleotides long. Ensembl annotates it as microRNA 135b. Its record names the gene MIR135B. NCBI's taxonomy places the organism in Eukaryota, Metazoa, Chordata, Mammalia, Primates, Cheirogaleidae. The record is from Ensembl.